GAUGAAGAACGUAGCGAAAUGCGAUAAGUAAUGUGAAUUGCAGAAUUCAGUGAAUCAUCGAAUCUUUGAACGCACCUUGCGCCCUUUGGCUAUUCUGAAGGGCAUGCCUGUUUGAGUAUCGUGAACACCUCAACUCUCAUGGUCUGCCAUGAUGAGCUUGGACUUUGGGGGUCUUGCUGGCCUACUGUCAGCUCCUCUCAAAUGAAUCAGCUUACCAGUGUUUGGUGGCACCACAGGUGUGAUAACUAUCUACGCUUGUGGUUUUCUGCCAGGUAACCUCCAGUGAUGGAGGUUCGCUGGAGCUCACAAAUGUCUCUCCUCAGCGAGGACAGCUUUUUGAACGUUUGAUCUCAAAUCAGGUAGGACUACCCGCUUAACUUAAGCAUAUCAAUAAGCGGAGGA
RNAcentral lists this unclassified non-coding RNA (402 nucleotides) under soil metagenome. Its description in RNAcentral is "partial contains 5.8S ribosomal RNA, internal transcribed spacer 2, and large subunit ribosomal RNA". The stretch from base 1 to 121 matches the Rfam family "5.8S ribosomal RNA", at positions 35 to 154 of the family's 154-position model. The record is from RNAcentral.